GACGAACGCUGGCGGCGUGCUUAACACAUGCAAGUCGAACGAGAAUCUACUGAAAGAGUUUUCGGACAAUGGAUGUAGAGGAAAGUGGCGGACGGGUGAGUAACGCGUGAGGAACCUGCCUUGAAGAGGGGGACAACAGUUGGAAACGACUGCUAAUACCGCAUGAAGCAUAGGGGUCGCAUGAUUCUUAUGCCAAAGAUUUAUCGCUUCAAGAUGGCCUCGCGUCUGAUUAGCUAGUUGGCGGGGUAACGGCCCACCAAGGCGACGAUCAGUAGCCGGACUGAGAGGUUGAACGGCCACAUUGGGACUGAGAUACGGCCCAGACUCCUACGGGAGGCAGCAGUGGGGAAUAUUGGGCAAUGGGCGCAAGCCUGACCCAGCAACGCCGCGUGAAGGAGAAGGCUUCGGGUUGUAAACUCUUUAAGAGGGAGAGCAGAAGACGGUACCUCUAGAAUAAGCCACGGCUAACUACGUG
RNAcentral lists this ribosomal RNA (475 nucleotides) under uncultured bacterium. Its description in RNAcentral is "bacterial SSU rRNA". It matches the Rfam family "Bacterial small subunit ribosomal RNA", at positions 28 to 507 of the family's 1533-position model. The record is from RNAcentral.